Molecule: ribosomal RNA, 497 nt
Filed under: uncultured bacterium
Lineage: Bacteria
Description: partial 16S ribosomal RNA
Rfam family: Bacterial small subunit ribosomal RNA
Source: RNAcentral
GAUGAACGCUGGCGGCGUGCCUAAUACAUGCAAGUCGAGCGAACGGACGAGAAGCUUGCUUCUCUGAUGUUAGCGGCGGACGGGUGAGUAACACGUGGAUAACCUACCUAUAAGACUGGGAUAACUUCGGGAAACCGUAGCUAAUACCGGAUAAUAUUUUGAACCGCAUGGUUCAAAAGUGAAAGACGGUCUUGCUGUCACUUAUAGAUGGAUCCGCGCUGCAUUAGCUAGUUGGUAAGGUAACGGCUUACCAAGGCCACGAUGCAUAGCCGACCUGAGAGGGUGAUCGGCCACACUGGAACUGAGACACGGUCCAGACUCCUACGGGAGGCAGCAGUGGGGAAUCUUCCGCAAUGGGCGAAAGCCUGACGGAGCAACGCCGCGUGAGUGAUGAAGGUCUUCGGAUCGUAAAACUCUGUUAUUAGGGAAGAACAUAUGUGUAAGUAACUGUGCACAUCUUGACGGUACCUAAUCAGAAAGCCACGGCUAACUACGUG